GGGUCAGUAGGUUGGUCAUGCCACUGGUAUGUACUGGUUUUACUGAUUCCUCCUUCCUGAUGAGCCGUUAUGCCAUUAAUUUGGUGUUGUGGAGAAUUUGGACUGUUACUUUGAAAAAAUUAGAGUGUUUAAAGCAAGCUAACGCUUGAAUACAUUAGCAUGGAAUAAUGAAAUAGGACGUUCGAUCCUAUUUUGUUGGUUUCUAGGAUUGACGUA
This 216-nucleotide ribosomal RNA is filed under the name Campeiostachys nutans. Its description in RNAcentral is "Elymus nutans partial small subunit ribosomal RNA". The stretch from base 38 to 216 matches the Rfam family "Eukaryotic small subunit ribosomal RNA", at positions 684 to 864 of the family's 1831-position model. The record is from RNAcentral. Lineage: Eukaryota; Viridiplantae; Streptophyta; Magnoliopsida; Poales; Poaceae.